ACCCGCGUACAUGCCACCGGGGCAUCCCGGAGGCAGGAAAGGCUUCGGCCGGACAGGGAUGGGCAUGCGGCGCAUUAGGCAGUAGGCGGGGUAACGGCCCACCUAACCGACGAUGCGUAGGGGUUCUGAGAGGAAGGUCCCCCACACUGGUACUGAGACACGGACCAGACUCCUACGGGAGGCAGCAGUGAGGAAUAUUGGUCAAUGGUCGGGAGACUGAACCAGCCAAGCCGCGUGAGGGAUGAAGGUACAGAGUAUCGUAAACCUCUUUUGUCAGGGAACAAAGGCGGGGACGUGUCCCCGGAUGAGUGUACCUGAAGAAAAAGCAUCGGCUAACUCCGUGCCAGCAGCCGCGGUAAUACGGAGGAUGCGAGCGUUAUCCGGAUUUAUUGGGUUUAAAGGGUGCGCAGGCGGUCUGUUAAGUCAGCGGUCAAAGCCCGGGGCUCAACCCCGGCCCGCCGUUGAAACUGGCAGUCUCGAGUUGGAGAGAAGUAUGCGGAAUGCGCGGUGUAGCGGUGAAAUGCAUAGAUAUCGCGCAGAACUCCGAUUGCGAAGGCAGCAUGCCGGCUCCACACUGACGCUGAGGCACGAAAGCGUGGGUAUCGAACAGGAGUAGAUACCCUGGUAGUCCACGCAGUAAACGAU
Molecule: ribosomal RNA, 645 nt
Filed under: uncultured bacterium
Lineage: Bacteria
Description: bacterial SSU rRNA
Rfam family: Bacterial small subunit ribosomal RNA
Source: RNAcentral